This 496-nucleotide ribosomal RNA is filed under the name uncultured bacterium. RNAcentral describes it as "partial 16S ribosomal RNA". It matches the Rfam family "Bacterial small subunit ribosomal RNA", at positions 28 to 506 of the family's 1533-position model. The record is from RNAcentral.
GAUGAACGCUGGCGGCGUGCCUAAUACAUGCAAGUCGAGCGAACGGACGAUAAGCUUGCUUCUCUGAUGUUAGCGGCGGACGGGUGAGUAACACGUGUAUAACCUACCUAUAAGACUGGGAUAACUUCGGGAAACCGUAGCUAAUACCGGAUAAUAUUUUGAACCGCAUUGUUCAUUAGUGAAAUACGGUCUUGCUGUCACUUAUAGCUGCAUCCGCGCUGCAUUAGCUAGUUGGUAAGUUAACGGCUUACCAAGGCAACGAUGCAUAGCCGACCUGAGAGGGUGAUCGGGCACAGUGAAAGUGAGACACGGUCGAGACACCGAGGGGAGGCAGAGGUAGGGAAUGUAGCGAACUGGGCGAAAGCCUGAAGGAUGAACGGCGGGCGAGUGCUGAAAGGCCUCGGAUCGUAAGACUCUGUUAUGAGGGAAGAACAUAUGUGUAAGUAACGGUGCACGUCUGGCGGGUACCUAUGAAGAAGGCCCCGGCAACCUACGG